This 886-nucleotide ribosomal RNA is filed under the name Cryptotis goldmani. Its description in RNAcentral is "partial 16S ribosomal RNA". It matches the Rfam family "Bacterial large subunit ribosomal RNA", at positions 1021 to 2532 of the family's 2925-position model. The record is from RNAcentral. Lineage: Eukaryota; Metazoa; Chordata; Mammalia; Eulipotyphla; Soricidae.
UACAGCUCUUUGGAAUAGGAUACAACCUUAAUUAGAGAGUAAGCAUGAAUAAACAACCAUAGUUGGCCUAAAAGCAGCCAUCAAUUAAGAAAGCGUUCAAGCUCAACAAAUCUUACACUCAGCUUAAUGUAAAAAAUAUCCACAAACUCCUAAUACCAAACUGGACCAAUCUAUAUCAAUAUAGAAGCAAUACUGUUAAUAUGAGUAACAAGAUUUAAAUCUCCCAGCACAAGUAUAUAUCAGAACAAAUACUUAACUGAUAGUUAACGGCUAAAUAAACAAAAUCUAUUAUAAAACAUUUAUUUCCCCACCGUUAACCCAACACAGGAGUGCAUCAAGGAAAGAUUAAAAGAAGUAAAAGGAACUCGGCAAACACAAACCCCGCCUGUUUACCAAAAACAUCACCUCUAGCAUUACUAGUAUUAGAGGCACUGCCUGCCCAGUGACAACUGUUUAACGGCCGCGGUAUCCUGACCGUGCAAAGGUAGCAUAAUCAUUUGUUCCUUAAAUAGGGACUUGUAUGAAUGGCCACACGAGGGUUUAACUGUCUCUUACUUCCAAUCAGUGAAAUUGACCUUUCCGUGAAGAGGCGGAAAUACACCAAUUAGACGAGAAGACCCUAUGGAGCUUUAAUUCAUCUACUCCAAUAGAAUGACCAAUUACCCGUACAGGAAUAACACUUAAUUCUAACUGGAUAGAAAAUUUCGGUUGGGGUGACCUCGGAGCAUAAACCAACCUCCGAGAAUUCUUACUAAGACUAACAAGUCAAAGUACAACUGUAAUAAUUGAUCCAGUCUAACUGAUCAACGGAACAAGUUACCCUAGGGAUAACAGCGCAAUCCUAUUCUAGAGUCCCUAUCGACAAUAGGGUUUACGACCUCGAUGU